ACUCCUACGGGAGGCAGCAGUAGGGAAUCUUCCACAAUGGACGAAAGUACUGAUGGAGCAACGCCGCGUGAGUGAAGAAGGGUUUCGGCUCGUAAAACUCUGUUGUUAAAGAAAGAACAUAUCUGAGAGUAACUGUUCAGGCAUUGACGGUAUUUAACCAGAAAGCCACGGCUAACUACGUGCCAGCAGCCGCGGUAAUACGUAGGUGGCAAGCGUUGUCCGGAUUUAUUGGGCGUAAAGCGAGCGCAGGCGGUUUUUAAGUUCUGAUGUGAAAGCCUUCGGCUCAACCGAAGAAGUGCAUCGGAAACUGGGAAACUUGAGUGCAGAAGAGGACAGUGGAACUCCAUGUGUAGCGGUGAAAUGCGUAGAUAUAUGGAAGAACACCAGU
Molecule: ribosomal RNA, 388 nt
Filed under: uncultured bacterium
Lineage: Bacteria
Description: bacterial SSU rRNA
Rfam family: Bacterial small subunit ribosomal RNA
Source: RNAcentral